AUGCUGCAGUUACUGAACUCUGAACACGUACAGGACUGGGAACUGGAUCCAGACGUAGAAAUCCCAAAUUCCCCCUUUUCUUCUCGCGACACCAAAAUCGCCGCCGCUCGCUCCGGCCGUCGACCGGACCGCGCCUCCACGCCCCCGUCCCCUCGGGACUUCGCCGACGGCGCCAAAUACAGAACGUGUUCUCCGCAACCUCAAACCAUGCCGUGCCCCCUCCCAAGUCCUAGCCCGGCUGCAGCUGUGCGGAACACCGCCGAGCCUCCUCGCCGGCCUUGCCAGUGUCACGGACGGCCGCGGAGGUUGCAGAGCCCGCCGUGGGCGCCUCAUCGUUCACAGCGGCACGGCAACGCUGAGAAAUUUCAUCCCAACUAAACAGGAUGGCAUCAGCUUGAACCCGAUGUAAUAAACGGUCUAGCAACAAGGGAAAAUAACACCACAGCAAUCGAUAUUGCCUUUGCUCAAUGCAUGCUUGGGUACGAGGAAGUCUGAACCUACUGCAAACCCACUAGUUUACAAACGCACAGAGGAUUAUCAUGGAUUUUUUCAAAAUGCACAGUAUUAUCAUGGAUAUUUUUCUUGUUUUCCCUCCGCUGGUGGGGCAUGUGUUUUUCUGAAGCAAAGCGUCCAUUUCUUUUGCCUUGUCACUUGUAUCGAUAUGCACAAUUAAUUUUCUGAAUGCAUUGAGAUUUGAGAGAGAUGUGUAACUACAGUUUGUUUUACUAGCAAUUCUAAAAGCAUAUAGUUGUGUCCUAACAACAGUUUUUGGGACCCAAUCUAAGUGAUAACCACAACAUCCAGUUUUUUCCAGGUCAAUGGGAUUUUUCUAGGCUAGAGGGAGAAAAGUUUUCAGGUACCUGUGAAGUGCUUUCUUCUUGCUUGGUGACAGAUACCGGAGGUGUUGAUCAGAUCCUUCAGUUCUGGGUAGAUGUUGGGGGGAGGACCUGUUCCUUGGAGUUGUUCCUGGAUGUAAUCCUGUCGUGAAGACCUGUUUAUGGAGCUCUGAAGGCGGCUUGAGACGGUAAGAAGAAUCCCGAGCAAGAUCGGGUGGGGAUACUGCACAAGGUUUGUGUUCAAUCACAUUACGAUAUGAACUCUUUGUCUUUACUAAAGAGAAUGAUAUACUUUUCUCUACUACUCCCUCGGUUCCAUAUUAAUUGGUGCUGAUUUAGUACAAGGAACGGAGAGAGUACUUAAUAUAGGAUGGAGGGAGUAGUAGAUAGCAAUAUACUCCUGAUAAUGAUACAGACCUGGACUUGGCACGUGGAGCGCAUAAGAGGCGGCAACUUCAAUAUCAGAAGGCCCAGUGGACUCGUUCACGCAGCUGGCGCCACUCAUAAAUCGCUCAUGGUGACGCCGGAGCCUGGAGGAGAAGAGAGCAAAGCUGCAAAUGCAUAGUUUCAUUUGUGUGAUGAGCACUGACUUAUGUGCUACUCCAGCGUUGUUAGCGCAGGACAGAUCAAUGAAUGAAUUGGAGGCAAAUGUAGGUAGCAUUGACUCAUAUCUUUCUGGCUGUCUUGUCUCAUCCUUAAUGGAGCUGUCCUCUCGUGAGAAGGAAAUGACUUGUGCAAGUCCAUCGAUACACAGUCCUUUGUGUUCCCACUACUGAUAUCUGGCUUGACCCAGGAUUUGAAGGGCUUAAUUUUAACUGCUGAAAAGAAUAAUUGAUAAAUGCCCAAAAUGCAUCAUGUAUAUUUUGAUAUGAUUGUAUAUUCAGUAGUGCUUGUACACACCCAAAGACAUAGCAGAAUUUAAAUUUUGUCAUAAAUCACGAUUAAUUUCAUGUUUU
This is a long non-coding RNA of Brachypodium distachyon (stiff brome), 1792 nucleotides long. RefSeq lists it as uncharacterized. NCBI's taxonomy places the organism in Eukaryota, Viridiplantae, Streptophyta, Magnoliopsida, Poales, Poaceae. The transcript has 3 exons. The record is from RefSeq and is a predicted model, not a curated record.